CUAAACUCACUCCACAGGAUGCAGACAGCAUCUUUCCUAGCAUGUCCCCAUCAAGGCAAGCCCCUCACUAGUCACUUCCCUGUGACCCUGGUAAGAAACACUACCCAAUGGAAAGGCCUAAAGGAAUUAAAAAAGACUUCUUGGUCUCUUUUCCCCCCUCUCAACUCUUCAAAAAAGAUUUGCUGCUAAACUUAGCAGUGCCUGAGUCCUGUGUUGAAGCUACUGUAUGUAUUUCUUUGCUGCACAGACAUCAUGAGUCAGGCAGAGCACCCUCACACUAGCCCACUGGUAAACACUGCGCCACAAAACUCAUUUGAAAAGGCAUCUGUUUCAUUAUUCAUAUAUUCUGGUCAUGUAGAACAACUAGUCAGGUUGUCUUGCUUUUACUAUUCUACUGGUUGACAAGGAACAGCUGGGUUGUUGUUUUUUUCUGCUCCUGCAUUUCUACAAAUCACUAUUAAUCUAUAUCCUCAUAUUAUCCUCAAAUUAAUGGAAAGCCAAAUCAUUUAGCAUUGCUCAGGUUUAAAUUAAAAUAUGCACCUAUAAAAAGGAUUCAUUUUUCAUCUUUAUGAGAAUCCAACACUGAUUGUGUACUGGAAGUCAGAUAUUUGAAAAACAUUGUUUCAUCUUACUUUUUUGUCUUGUAAUUAGUCUAAAAUAACAAGUAAUAUUUAAACUAUUGGUAAAUAUCCUUUAUGCUGGAUGAGAGCAAGGUGUGGUGAGAGAGCUAAACUCUAUGUUGCUAAACUUUAGAGACAGCACACUAUAUGAUUUUAAACAUCUAAUUCUUUUUUUAUCUGAACAUAUGCACCACGUGCGCACGCGCGCACACACACACACACACUGCACAGAGUGUGCAAGGAACAAAGAUCACACUGGUACAAGAUUUAGUUCAUACAGUAUGUAUCCAGGAUUGGUCCAGUAAUGGAAAAAACACUGCUAGACUGAGGGACCGGUGAUAAUUUUAAGGUCAGCUAACUCAUGAACUAGAAAUGAAUGCUCUAGGCCACACAAAUGCUGAGCUUCUUGUACAUGUGCAUCAACAGACUCGCUCACAUGUACUCUUUCACAUCCCUCUUUCAAACAUGCACACAUAUGGACAGCAACUAUUUGCUCUUAAAAGAGGGACAAAAACUUCAGAGCAGCAGUGUCUUCUCCCUUUUGCACUCUCUCUUAUAAACAAAUCCACACAAUAUAGAGUAUACAGGGCUGGAAUUAUUUUCCCUUCUGUUCACUGAUACUAAAUAAUUCUUUACAACCACUGGUUUUGUCUGAAAGCAUUCACACUGCUCUGCCAAAACAUUCCUAACCUUGAGAAAGCAGACCUUACACAAUCACUUCAUUCUGAGCACCAUCCUGCUUUUACUUCCUACUUUAAUUCUGGUAAGACUUUUGUAUUGAAUAUCUCAUAUUUCCAACAUUUCAGAGUAUGUAGAUUCAAGAUUUUAGCUCCAGCUUUUGUUUUCAGUGGCCACUAAAAUCUUGUGAAUGAAGAGGGACAGAAGAUGGCAGACUGAUUGAUAUGAUUCUAAAGUCCAAAGCCUCAUUAUCAUCGCAGAGGACCGGCAUACCAUUCCAAGCACUGGACCAGUGACCAGAAAGAAAAUAUUUCAACGUCUGCAGGGAGGAAAUAUACUGAGGCAGUGGUGGAAGGAUUACGCAAAAGUGGCCUCUGGUCUGGAGAACCACUCAGGAACCAUGUUUGUAGUUGAAGAAUGUUCAGAUUGGGAAGAAGUGUCUGACCUGCAUCCUGAGACAAUAGUCGAGGUUUGAUUGAGAGCCACCAUGCAGGGCAAGAGGUGAGUUUAAUGAGGUAAGAAACCAAACUUGUCUUGGCCAAGUUGGAGCAAUCAAAAUGAUCUUGGCUUGGUCUUGCUUGAUCUUGAUGAGGACAUUUAAAGGCGAUGGAGUUGGAAGAUAUGUAUAAAAAAGAUCUUUUGUGCAUGUAAUAAGGAUAAUGUCUCUUAGAGAUUGGGGAUCAAGUCCCCCUCUGAAACAGAAUUUCCUGUACUGCAUGUUGGCUGCCUUGGCUAAAAGGUCAACCUGUGGACAUUCUCAAGCUAGGAAUUCUUUUUGAAGAUCAAGAAUCCAACUCCCAUUUGUAAUUUAGGGAGAAAUAUCUGCUGAGGUUCUCUGCCAUGUUGUUUUGUGUACCCA
Molecule: long non-coding RNA, 2157 nt
Organism: Chrysemys picta bellii (western painted turtle)
Lineage: Eukaryota; Metazoa; Chordata; Testudines; Emydidae
Source: RefSeq, a predicted model, not a curated record